Molecule: long non-coding RNA, 254 nt
Organism: Megalops cyprinoides (Indo-Pacific tarpon)
Lineage: Eukaryota; Metazoa; Chordata; Actinopteri; Elopiformes; Megalopidae
Exons: 3
Source: RefSeq, a predicted model, not a curated record
AUGAAACGUUACGUGCGUGAGAAAACAGCUUCUGAAGCUGUCAACAAUUUUGAGAGUUUGCAGAGAAAUACACAGAGGAAGAGUGUCUUGGAAGUGGCGGAUUCGGCAGAGUUUUUGCCGGAUACCGGAAGGAGGGAUUGCUGCCAGUGGCCAUAAAGCACAUCCCUCUGCACAAAGCUGACUGGAUGACUACAACCCUUGAUGGACAGCAGCAGAAGGUUCCCAAAGAGGUGGCGCUGAUCAGGAUGGUGGGC